ACAAAUAAUUAGUGUGGUUCCUCCCUGCCCACUUCCCUUCACACUCGUUCAGCCUGAAUUUCACGAGUCUUCUGCGCCACCCUUCCUCAGGGCUCGUCUUGCUCCAGAGAUUUAUAUCAACAACGAGAAGAGUGGAGCCUUUGGGAAGGGGAAAAGCUGGAGAGCACUGAUUACCAUGGAGGGACAAGCUGGACCCGUCGGAGCCUGAGACCCAGCUCCCCCUCUGCUGCUGGCUGCUGUGAGACCUUAUAUAAAGGAUGGACUCAGCAUCUUGUAGGACUUGCUUGCGCUUUCUUGUGUGAAGGCUGAGACCGUUUGGGACGACACCCUAUACUCACCUUCUCAGGUAAAGCGAUACAGCUUUCCAAGAACUGGUUUUUCUUCUUCCCAUAACUAGACUGUCCUGGUCCAACACUGCCGAGGGAGUGAAAAUCUGACUCAUCUUUCUUUACAGUUGUAGUUGCAAGGCUCUAACAAAAAACAGAUGGGGAAAACAUGCCCAAAUAUUUAACAAAUUGAGCUGCUCUUCCCUGAGAUCCUUCCCUCCUUCCCCAGCAACAGCAUGCCUUGCUGUGAAUUGCACUGUCUUCACAGGAGCGGUGCCAGAUAACCAGUGGUGUGGCUGAGUCAAUCUCUAACUGCUGAAGCUGUGUUAUGUCUUUGUUAUUGUAUCCGGAGCUAAUGAGGCCUACCAGUUCCAGUUCUAAACUCUGUCUUUCAUGAUAAAUGUUAUUUACUGCUCUGUCAAGGGUCCUCCUACUACUUAAGUCAUCCGUCUGAAAAGCUUGGGGAAGAUGUGUGAGUUGAAACCAACCCGUAGUUCUUGUGUCCUGAUUGAGUGAUUUUGUGACCUUAAGAAAAGGGAUAUUCAUAACAUCUUUUCCCUCAGUAUUCCUUUAAAGAUCGAGGUUUGCAUUUUUGAAGAUAUUGGUUUGCUUUUCUCUAAAACUUGUGGCUCCUGAUUCAGUACUGUACUUGUAAAAUUGUUUAAAUAUACCAAGGAAAUAUUAAGUGUUGCUGUUAUGUGGAUGAGAAGAUCUUUUCGGUGGUCAGCAAGCAGUUUUAAUGAAUCAGUUCUCUUAACCUGCUUGCAUAUGGUAUUUGCAAUUCAAGAAAAAGGGAGAUAAUAGCUAGAGGUUUGGCUUUUCACUAAAAUGUAGUUGGGUAUAUUUGAUUUUGUGGUUAUGUGUGUGGCCAUGACAGAUAAUUCUCAGAAUUUUUACAAACAAAGCUGUGCAUUGUUUAUAGGAGCUAAG
This 1256-nucleotide long non-coding RNA is filed under the name Struthio camelus australis. Its description in RNAcentral is "lncRNA (ENSSCUG00000009109.1)". The record is from RNAcentral. Lineage: Eukaryota; Metazoa; Chordata; Aves; Struthioniformes; Struthionidae.